This is a long non-coding RNA of Carassius carassius (crucian carp), 2084 nucleotides long. RefSeq lists it as uncharacterized. The transcript has 6 exons. The record is from RefSeq and is a predicted model, not a curated record. NCBI's taxonomy places the organism in Eukaryota, Metazoa, Chordata, Actinopteri, Cypriniformes, Cyprinidae.
AGGGCUUUCUACGGUGAAGGGGGCAGGACUCGUGCCGCACACAUAUACACAAACACGUGUUCCUGUCCGUUCAAUGGGUGUAUGGUGUGGGAACGGAGAUGGGGAGGUCCCUGCGUUCUUCACGGCCCGGGCAGCCGGGUUGUCAGGGACAGGCCCCUGGGUGAUGAAGCCUGUGAGGAGUUUGCAGAGAUGUUCCACUCAACAAUGGUAAGAAUCGUCAGAUCUUUGCCAUCAGAGCAGACUUUGCAAUCCGAGAGAUUCCUCAGGAAUUCUUAGCCGUCUUUCUAUCUCAUAUCUAUGUCGUGGAUCACCUCUGGACACUUUCCCAAACCCUUUUUGGAAUUUAUUUUCAGUGCUAUAAGAAAGAAAAAAAAAAUCAAUGAUGAAGACACACACUGAGAAAGUCUUUGUGAUACCUUCAGCAAGCACAUAUAGUGGAGCAGAUGGUGGCCCUCAUUGGAGCUUUUCCCCUGUUUGGCCCCUCUCUACAGAAGCCUUUCAGGGAGUACCUUGAAGCCCAGAGGGCAAAAUUACAACACCGGACGGGCGGCGCGCAGAAGAGGCCACCCCAAUUGUAAGUCCCAUCACUCAUCUCUUUUAACCUUUAAAUUUGCCUCAAUCCCAGACGUGGCUUUUGUAUUUUUGUUUAUUUUUCCACCAUUCCUCCUUUUAAUUUAUUACGCGCACCCCUAUUUCUCUUUUGCUCCACAUCCUAAUUACCUCCCUGCCCUAAUUAUCGCUUUGAGACUGGUUUUAUUCUACCGUGUGAUUCUGUUGAGGUGUUAUUGUUUGCAUGUGGCAGACCGUAGUGUCAGGGGCUCCGCGAGGGCUGUGCGGUGGUUGGUCGCGGGGGCCUGUUCAGGGUCUGGCUGAAGAGGGAUGCUGAGUCAUACUCCGAGCUCUUUGAGUGAACCGGACACUCCCCCACGUCACACUAACUCACCCCCCCCCCCUCCCCCCUCAGCAGCCGAACCCUGUUGAACCCAGCGCAGGCUGCCGGAGACGGGAGGGGCCCCUGGGAGUAAAAGAAGAAGGAGGAGGAGGGUCGAGGGACGUUGGGAAGGGAAGCAGCAGGAGGAGGAGGGUUGGGGGAGGUUGAGGCUAUACUCACGAUUCCUGCCACCGCUGUUCCCUCACAAGUGCGCACAGAAACAAAGAGCUACACCUUCUUUUUUUUUUUUUAUACCUUCGUCUGCCCAUGUGCGAAUCCUUCGUUUCAUCUAAAGAGCUUUUCCAGUUUGUGUGCAUGUGUGCGUACGUGUGGGAGGAGGAAAUGAAAGAGAGUAAAAGAAAGAGAUGAAGUUGCACAAUGAGAGAUUACGGAUGUUUCUGGAACAAUGUUCCUUUUUUCUGGUAACUUGAACCUCCUGCUGUUACUUAAGGGCUUGUUCAACCGGCAGGAGGAAACGAUGCCACCACCGUGCACGUGUCACUAACGUAAAUCUUGUUUUAAAGAAGCAGAGAGAGAUUGAAGGGAAAUGCAUGUGGAGAUGAGUGAUUGCUUAACCUGAGAUGUUUCUGAUGAGUUAAUGCAUUGAUGAUUAAGCAUAAUCGACUGUCUUUUACUCUCUCCUUACAGGUUUUAGAGGAUGGUGAUCAGCAUAGUGCAUCAUAGACUUUUGGUUUCCAAGAACCUUAUAAAGCAAAACUAAAUCAAGGAACUAAAUUAACCCUAAAAUCCAACAGCUUCCUCAAUCUCAUGUCAGCCACUGCUAGAAUAAUAGGUUUAUUCUUCUCAAUUUUCUUUGAGGUUUCUAUUGUAACAUGGCUAUCGGUUAACAUUUUUACUUUUUAAUGUGCUUGCUAGCUGGUGGUUUGUGCUGAGAUACUCAUGUUCUCAGCUCCGUCUUGCACAGGUUAUCUGAUCCCAAUGGUUUGAGGUGCACUGUGGCUUAUGUUGUGUGUGGUCUGUUACAUUUAAGGGACAGACUGCAAUAAUUUGAUUUUAAAAUUCGUUAUUAGUGACUUUGUGCUUUUGAAAUUCAGUAUAUUCCAAUUCACAGUGCUCGUAUAAUUCUAGAUUCAUAAUUUGAAUUUAGGUAGCAAAAACAGGAAGUUAAUGUAAAGUAACACUGACUCUAAAG